GCUUAAGUAGUUUAGGUAAAACGUAAGAUUUUCAUUCUUAAUUCAGAAUUUGUUUCUCUUAAGUU
RNAcentral lists this transfer RNA (65 nucleotides) under Crenomytilus grayanus. RNAcentral's name for it is "tRNA-Glu". It matches the Rfam family "tRNA". Rfam says of the family: Transfer RNA (tRNA) molecules are approximately 80 nucleotides in length. Their secondary structure includes four short double-helical elements and three loops (D, anti-codon, and T loops). The record is from RNAcentral. Lineage: Eukaryota; Metazoa; Mollusca; Bivalvia; Mytilida; Mytilidae.